AUGAGACUUCGGUGGAUUUUAGAAUUCUUAGUGGCGGACGGGUGAGUAACGCGUGGGCAACCUACCCUGUACAGGGGGACAACAGCUGGAAACAGCUGCUAAUACCGCAUAAGCGCACAGUAUCGCAUGAUGCCGUGUGAAAAACUCCGGUGGUACAGGAUGGGCCCGCGUUGGAUUAGGUAGUUGGUGGGGUAACGGCCUACCAAGCCGACGAUCCAUAGCCGACCUGAGAGGGUGACCGGCCACAUUGGGACUGAGACACGGCCCAAACUCCUACGGGAGGCAGCAGUGGGGAAUAUUGCACAAUGGGGGAAACCCUGAUGCAGCGACGCCGCGUGAGCGAAGAAGUAUUUCGGUAUGUAAAGCUCUAUCAGCAGGGAAGAAAAUGACGGUACCUGACUAAGAAGCCCCGGCUAACUACGUGCCAGCAGCCGCGGUAAUACGUAGGGGGCAAGCGUUAUCCGGAUUUACUGGGUGUAAAGGGAGCGUAGACGGCUUUGCAAGUCUGAUGUGAAAGGCGGGGGCUCAACCCCUGGACUGCAUUGGAAACUGUGAGGCUUGUGUGCCGGAGAGGUAAGCGGAAUUCCUAGUGUAGCGGUGAAAUGCGUAGAUAUUAGGAGGAACACCAGUGGCGAAGGCGGCUUACU
RNAcentral lists this ribosomal RNA (647 nucleotides) under uncultured Lachnospiraceae bacterium. Its description in RNAcentral is "bacterial SSU rRNA". It matches the Rfam family "Bacterial small subunit ribosomal RNA", at positions 66 to 730 of the family's 1533-position model. Lineage: Bacteria; Bacillati; Bacillota; Clostridia; Lachnospirales; Lachnospiraceae. The record is from RNAcentral.